CCUACGGGAGGCUGCAGUGGGGGAUAUUGCACAAUGGGGGGAACCCUGAUGCAGCGACGCCGCGUGGGUGAAGAAGCGCCUCGGCGCGUAAAGCCCUGUCAGCAGGGAAGAAAAUGACGCUACCUGAAGAAGAAGCCCCGGCUAACUAAGUUCCAACAGCCGCGGGAAUAGGUAGGGGGCACGCGGUAUCCCGAGUUAAUGGGGGUAAAGGGGGGGUAGACGGGGAUGCAAGCCAGGAGGGAAAGCCCGGGGCCCAACCCCGGGACUGCUCUUGGAACUGCGUGGCUGGAGUGCAGGAGGGGCAGGCGGAAUUCCUGGUGUAGCGGUGAAAUGCGUAGAUAUCAGGAGGAACACCGGUGGCGAAGGCGGCCUGCUGGACUGCAACUGACGUUGAGGCCCGAAAGCGUGGGGAGCAAACAGGAUUAGAUACCCGUGUAGUC
This 440-nucleotide ribosomal RNA is filed under the name uncultured bacterium. RNAcentral's name for it is "partial 16S ribosomal RNA". It matches the Rfam family "Bacterial small subunit ribosomal RNA", at positions 338 to 795 of the family's 1533-position model. The record is from RNAcentral.